RNAcentral lists this long non-coding RNA (837 nucleotides) under Homo sapiens (human). RNAcentral describes it as "non-protein coding lnc-LRP5L-2:2". Lineage: Eukaryota; Metazoa; Chordata; Mammalia; Primates; Hominidae. The record is from RNAcentral.
GCCCCCUCGCGCGCCGCCCGGCGCCCCGCGCACGCGCGCCGCCCCCUGCUCCUUCAGCGAGGGUCUGCGGGGAGCGCGCGUCCAACGGUAAUGAUGAAACUCCUGCUCUGGUCCGGGCUACCGGUGAACAGCGCCCAGCGGGCCGGGCCCCCAACCUCGCUCCUGAGCCUGAACAUCCCCCCAACCCCACCGUGAGAAUUCAGCGAAGAGUAAAAGCUGGAAAAAGUUGCGUGUCUUAGGCUAAGCAGAACAAAGUGGGGUGACGGCUCCCCGGCUAGGAACAGAGAUGCCCUUAGGGAGCCCUCUGAUGGAAGAGCUCUCCGCUUAAGAAGGUCACCACUCCCUUACACUCAGGAGAUGUUGCUGAGAUGGGUGCAUUAAAGUUUAGGCUUUCCAGAGUUUAUAUUGCUAACAACUUGAAAGGAAAAAAGCUAACUAGAGAACUGACUGGUCUUAUUUGUUUUAGAUUCUGGGCUUUACUAAGACUUCCUACUCUCAGAAUCUCUGGACUAUAAACGCUGGGUGGGGUGGGAGCUGGGAAUGUUAUUCUGGAAAAUUAAUCACAAAUGAAAAGAAAAUCAACUCUAAGACUCCAGUUAGAAGAUUUUUGAAAAUGGCAGAACAUGACUGGCCUUCAUUCAAGUCAGAAUAUUUAAAGCAAUCCUUGCUAAGAAGAACUUGAUUUUGUAUAAGCAGUCCCUUAAAUACAGUUGCUUCUCAAGAAAACCACACACAAUUGAUGUUUGAAUGGCUUUAUUUACAAACAUCUCACUCCGUAAGCCUCUGCAGGUAUUUCUAGCCUCCCAGGGGCCACUGUCCCGUUUCACCUGUAAUUUG